RNAcentral lists this small nucleolar RNA (134 nucleotides) under Catagonus wagneri (Chacoan peccary). RNAcentral describes it as "Small nucleolar RNA SNORA42/SNORA80 family (ENSCWAG00000009191.1)". It matches the Rfam family "Small nucleolar RNA SNORA42/SNORA80 family". From Rfam's summary of the family: The members of this family belong to the H/ACA class of snoRNAs that guide the sites of modification of uridines to pseudouridines. Lineage: Eukaryota; Metazoa; Chordata; Mammalia; Artiodactyla; Tayassuidae. The record is from Rfam by way of RNAcentral.
GAAUGGGUUUGGAUUUAUGGCGGGCCCGUCCCUGUGGGCCUCUCAUAGUGUCCCAUGCCAGAGCAAACUGUGGCCACGAACCAUUGCCUGACCUCUGCCUGUAGGUUGCGGGCACUGAAGCAGGUUGCACAGUG